AAAAAAUAUGAAUAUCCUAGGUGGAGGUGGAAGAGUCCAUCACAUGGUUCACAGAAAGGAAGAUGACCACAAGAUGGACAAAUCAGUGAGGACACACCGCCACACAGGUUACACUUGCUGACUGGAGGAGGUGACCGUAGAGGCAGGGAAGUAUAAGAGCAGAGGGCAGCUGCAUUGCAGCACCCAGGACCAACUCCGGAGAGAGAGAGAGAGAGAAUGAAAGAGCCACUGGCUAUGUAUUUCCACAGCAAGUGUCACAUGGAAGGAGAGGUCAACGGAAACUCUACACUGCUCAGAAACCAACAUGACAGGUUUGGUGGAGUUCCGGGU
Molecule: long non-coding RNA, 330 nt
Organism: Lampris incognitus (smalleye Pacific opah)
Lineage: Eukaryota; Metazoa; Chordata; Actinopteri; Lampriformes; Lampridae
Exons: 3
Source: RefSeq, a predicted model, not a curated record